UAGGGAAUCUUCCGCAAUGGGCGAAAGCCUGACGGAGCAACGCCGCGUGAGUGAAGAAGGUCUUCGGAUCGUAAAAUUCUGUUAUUAGGGAAGAACAAAUGUGUAAGUAACUAUGCACGUCUUGACGGUACCUAAUCAGAAAGCCACGGCUAACUACGUGCCAGCAGCCGCGGUAAUACGUAGGUGGCAAGCGUUAUCCGGAAUUAUUGGGCGUAAAGCGCGCGUAGGCGGUUUUUUAAGUCUGAUGUGAAAGCCCACGGCUCAACCGUGGAGGGUCAUUGGAAACUGGAAAACUUGAGUGCAGAAGAGGAAAGUGGAAUUCCAUGUGUAGCGGCGAAAUGCGCAGAGAUAUGGAGGAACACCAGUGGCGAAGGCGACUUUCUGGUCUGUAACUGACGCUGAUGUGCGAAAGCGUGGGGAUCAAACAGGAUUAGAUACCCUGGUAGUCCACGCCGUAAACGAUGAGUGCUAAGUGUUAGGGGGUUUCCGCCCCUUAGUGCUGCAGCUAACGCAUUAAGCACUCCGCCUGGGGAGUACGACCGCAAGGUUG
Molecule: ribosomal RNA, 550 nt
Filed under: uncultured bacterium
Lineage: Bacteria
Description: bacterial SSU rRNA
Rfam family: Bacterial small subunit ribosomal RNA
Source: RNAcentral